This 253-nucleotide ribosomal RNA is filed under the name uncultured bacterium. RNAcentral's name for it is "partial 16S ribosomal RNA". It matches the Rfam family "Bacterial small subunit ribosomal RNA", at positions 524 to 776 of the family's 1533-position model. The record is from RNAcentral.
UACGAAGGGAGCUAGCGUUGUUCGGAAUCACUGGGCGUAAAGCGCACGUAGGCGGAUGUGUCAGUCAGGGGUGAAAUCCUGGAGCUCAACUCCAGAACUGCCUUUGAUACUGGCGAUCUCGAGUCCGGGAGAGGUGAGUGGAACUGCGAGUGUAGAGGUGAAAUUCGUAGAUAUUCGCAAGAACACCAGUGGCGAAGGCGGCUCACUGGCCCGAUACUGACGCUGAGGCACGAAAGCGUGGGGAGCAAACAGG